This 497-nucleotide ribosomal RNA is filed under the name uncultured bacterium. RNAcentral's name for it is "partial 16S ribosomal RNA". It matches the Rfam family "Bacterial small subunit ribosomal RNA", at positions 28 to 507 of the family's 1533-position model. The record is from RNAcentral.
GAUGAACGCUGGCGGCGUGCCUAAUACAUGCAAGUCGAGCGAACAGAUGAGGAGCUUGCUCCUCUGACGUUAGCGGCGGACGGGUGAGUAACACGUGGAUAACCUACCUAUAAGACUGGGAUAACUUCGGGAAACCGGAGCUAAUACCGGAUAAUAUAUUGAACCGCAUGGUUCAAUAGUGAAUGACGGUUUUGCUGUCACUUAUAGAUGGAUCCGCGCCGCAUUAGCUAGUUGGUAAGGUAACGGCUUACCAAGGCAACGAUGCGUAGCCGACCUGAGAGGGUGAUCGGCCACACUGGAACUGAGACACGGUCCAGACUCCUACGGGAGGCAGCAGUAGGGAAUCUUCCGCAAAGGGCGAAAGCCUGACGGAGCAACGCCGCGUGAGUGAUGAAGGUCUUCGGAUCGUAAAACUCUGUUAUUAGGGAAGAACAAAUGUGUAAGUAACUAUGCACGUCUUGACGGUACCUAAUCAGAAAGCCACGGCUAACUACGUG